UUUGCUCUUAAAGACAUAUGUUGCUGGUAAGCAGUGUAAAUAUGUCUUUAAAAAAUAUCUUUAUGACCAAAUUAACAUUAUGGCCAACUGUCCUCAAUUCACAACUUGGGUCUUUUAGGUGAAAAAACUGUAUUUGAAUUACAAAAAAUAAUUUUCUUCGCCCAAAUACAGUAAUGCAGAAUUACACAAAUUGAAUUGACCCGCCGGCCUACAUUUUUUUAACUCAGUAUAUAAAAAAAAUCCAACCUAAAUUCUGAGCUCCAUAUGAGCCAAAGGAUUUGGAAAAAGUCAACCAUGAUUUUAUUGUACCCGGCGUCGACUACUAGAUAGUUUUGUUAAGGAGCCUCAGCAUAUUUUCUCUUUUGCAACUGAUAAUAGUCCAGAAC
Long non-coding RNA from Sander lucioperca (pikeperch), 386 nucleotides. RefSeq lists it as uncharacterized. The transcript has 2 exons. NCBI's taxonomy places the organism in Eukaryota, Metazoa, Chordata, Actinopteri, Perciformes, Percidae. The record is from RefSeq and is a predicted model, not a curated record.